This 229-nucleotide ribosomal RNA is filed under the name uncultured Bifidobacteriales bacterium. Its description in RNAcentral is "partial 16S ribosomal RNA". It matches the Rfam family "Bacterial small subunit ribosomal RNA", at positions 104 to 334 of the family's 1533-position model. The record is from RNAcentral. Lineage: Bacteria; Bacillati; Actinomycetota; Actinomycetes; Bifidobacteriales.
GGGUGAGUAAUGCGUGACCAACCUGCCCCAUGCUCCAGAAUAGCUCUUGGAAACGGGUGGUAAUGCUGGAUGCUCCAACUUGACGCAUGUCUUGUUGGGAAAGUGUUUAGUGGCAUGGGAUGGGGUCGCGUCCUAUCAGCUUGUAGGCGGGGUAAUGGCCCACCUAGGCUUCGACGGGUAGCCGGCCUGAGAGGGCGGACGGCCACAUUGGGACUGAGAUACGGCCCAG